CACACCACCCGCCUCAUACCGCGGACUCACACCGCGCGCCCCCUCACACGGCCCGCUGCCUCACGCCGCGACCCCGCCCCGCCGCUUCACACUGCCGGCACGGCCACGCCCCACGCCCGCAGGCCUGCUCGGGGGUGGUCUGAGCAUGCGCCCUGGUCCCGGCCCCGCGGUGCAUCCUGGGAAGGCGGGCGUGUGUGCGUUAGGCCGGGACACCGGAGUCCGGCUCGCCUCCCUAGGCCUAGCUCGGUCUGCCGUGUCGGUUCCGUUGCUCUGGUGCAAGGUGGCAGCUGUCGGAAGCCAACCCAGUGAAGGCGCCAGCGCAGCCUUGACCCCCCGAGCCCUUCUGCCACGUGCACCUGCGCCGAUUUCCAUGCACCUGACCCGCACCCUUCCGCCUUAGCCCGCAGGAGCCAAAGUCUAGCAAACAUCCUGCGGGUGUGAGGGGGCACGGAGCAGUGUGGUGCAGGCUGCUUGUCUGUCCGGAUCGUCCGUGCCACACCCUCGGCCCGCCACAUGAAUAACUGAAAGGCGACCACACCACGGAGCGGACACCAACUUCAAGCUCUCACUUCCGCUCAGCUUCCUCUGCAUUUUCCUUCCUCGGGGACUCGUGAGUCGGCACAUCAGAAACCACAGGGCGCCACCCCGCCUGCUCGGGAGCAGAGGUUUCGCAGAGGGAGCACUGCAGAGAGAAGUCGCUGUAAGAAGUCAGAUGGGAAAGAAGCUGUCCUCCCAUGGAUGCUCCGGCGCCACCCCGCCUGUUUCCUAGCCCCGCCCUCAUCCAAGGGGACGAUGACACCUCACGCCUGGAGAAUGCGCAAAAGAUGUUAGUGCCCAACCUCAUCUGAUCGCAGCCUUGUGGGGCCGGGCAGUGCAGCUGUAGGCCUUGGAUUGCCGCUAACGACGUGCUGGACUCGGUAGUUAGAGCAGAGAGGCCUCCAGGUCAGGUCCAGUCAACUCUGACCUGCAGGGCUCCUGGCCUUGAGCCAUGGAGACACACAACAGCAGGUCCCUUCAACCUCCUAUUAUAGUCAGGACCUACAAAUCCAGGGAACUAGGACAGUUUUCAUAAAGGAAAGGAAGUGGUGAGAGCUCUUUUUAUGGUUUCCACGUUAUGGUCAUAGACCUUGGAACUAAUCCAACAAAUCUUUAAACAUCACAGAAAAGUUCUUUGCCCCUUUACGCAGUUUUGUGAUGACAGAGUACAAAAUAACUGAAACGUUGUGUUAACUUUAAGUUGUAAAUAAUCAAACAUGUCCUUUCUUAUUUCCUAAACAAUGGAUAAUGAUAAUUUAGUGCCUUUCAUUCACAAACAUCCUUAGUCAAUAGCUUCUCAAGGACUCUGCUAAAGGAAAAAAAAAAGAAAAACAAAGAGAACUAAAUUAAGGCAUUUACGGUUUAUAAUACAUGUGUUUCUCCUGUCUCACUA
Molecule: non-coding RNA, 1429 nt
Organism: Oryctolagus cuniculus (rabbit)
Lineage: Eukaryota; Metazoa; Chordata; Mammalia; Lagomorpha; Leporidae
Source: RefSeq, a predicted model, not a curated record